AGAACGAACGCUGGCGGCAUGCCUAACACAUGCAAGUCGAACGAACCCUUCGGGGUUAGUGGCGCACGGGUGCGUAACGCGUGGGAACCUGCCUUUUGGUUCGGAAUAACAGUGAGAAAUUGCUGCUAAUACCGAAUAAUGUCUUCGGACCAAAGAUUUAUCGCCAUUAGAUGGGCCCGCGUAGGAUUAGCUAGUUGGUGGGGUAAAGGCCUACCAAGGCGACGAUCCUUAGCUGGUCUUAGAGGAUGAUCAGCCACACUGGGACUGAGACACGGCCCAGACUCCUACGGGAGGCAGCAGUGGGGAAUAUUGGACAAUGGGCGAAAGCCUGAUCCAGCAAUGCCGCGUGAGUGAUGAAGGCCUUAGGGUUGUAAAGCUCUUUACCGGAUGAUAAUGACAGUACCGGAGAAUAAGCCCCGCUAACUCCGUGCCAGCAGCCGC
This 441-nucleotide ribosomal RNA is filed under the name uncultured soil bacterium. RNAcentral describes it as "bacterial SSU rRNA". It matches the Rfam family "Bacterial small subunit ribosomal RNA", at positions 26 to 518 of the family's 1533-position model. The record is from RNAcentral.